AGCAGCCGCGGUAAUUCCAGCUCCAAUAGCGUAUAUUAAAGUUGUUGCAGUUAAAAAGCUCGUAGUUGAAUUUCGAGACCGGUUUACUGGUCGUGCUUUUGUACGUACUGGUAUUAUUGGUUUCUCCUUUCUGACGAAUCAUAAUGCCAUUAAUUUGGUGUUUUGGGGAAUCAGGACUGUUACUUUGAAAAAAUUAGAGUGUUUAAAGCAGGCUCACGCUUGAAUACAUUAGCAUGGAAUAACGAAAUAGGACGUUUGAUUUUAUUUUGUUGGUUUCUAGGAUCGACGUAAUGAUUAAUAGGGAUAGUUGGGGGCAUUAGUAUUCAAUUGUCAGAGGUGAAAUUCUUGGAUUUAUUGAAGACUAACUACUGCGAAAGCAUUUGCCAAGGAUGUUUUCAUUAAUCAAGAACGAAAGUUAGGGGAUCGAAGACGAUCAGAUACCGUCGUAGUCUUAACCAUAAACUAUGCCGACUAGGGAUCGGAUGAUGUUAAUUUUUAAUGACUCAUUCGGCACCGUUAC
Molecule: ribosomal RNA, 520 nt
Filed under: uncultured Glomus
Lineage: Eukaryota; Fungi; Glomeromycota; Glomeromycetes; Glomerales; Glomeraceae
Description: SSU rRNA
Rfam family: Eukaryotic small subunit ribosomal RNA
Source: RNAcentral